This 253-nucleotide ribosomal RNA is filed under the name uncultured bacterium. RNAcentral's name for it is "partial 16S ribosomal RNA". It matches the Rfam family "Bacterial small subunit ribosomal RNA", at positions 524 to 776 of the family's 1533-position model. The record is from RNAcentral.
GACGUAGGGCGCGAGCGUUGUCCGGAUUUAUUGGGCGUAAAGAGCUCGUAGGCGGCUUGUCGCGUCGACUGCGAAAACCCGCGGCUCAACUGUGGGCUUGCAGUCGAUACGGGCAGGCUGGAAUUCGGUAGGGGAGACUGGAAUUCCUGGUGUAGCGGUGAAAUGCGCAGAUAUCAGGAGGAACACCGGUGGCGAAGGCGGGUCUCUGGGCCGAUACUGACGCUGAGGAGCGAAAGCGUGGGGAGCGAACAGG